This 1356-nucleotide ribosomal RNA is filed under the name uncultured bacterium. RNAcentral describes it as "bacterial SSU rRNA". It matches the Rfam family "Bacterial small subunit ribosomal RNA", at positions 18 to 1396 of the family's 1533-position model. The record is from RNAcentral.
CCUGGCUCCGUCGAACGCUGGCGGCGCGCCUAACACAUGCAAGUCGAACGAGCGAGAGAGAGCUUGCUUUCUCAAGCGAGUGGCGAACGGGUGAGUAACGCGUGAGGAACCUGCCUCAAAGAGGGGGACAACAGUUGGAAACGACUGCUAAUACCGCAUAAGCCCACGGUGCCGCAUGGCACAGGGGGAAAAGGAGCAAUCCGCUUUGAGAUGGCCUCGCGUCCGAUUAGCUAGUUGGUGAGGUAACGGCCCACCAAGGCGACGAUCGGUAGCCGGACUGAGAGGUUGAACGGCCACAUUGGGACUGAGACACGGCCCAGACUCCUACGGGAGGCAGCAGUGGGGAAUAUUGCACAAUGGGGGAAACCCUGAUGCAGCGACGCCGCGUGGAGGAAGAAGGUCUUCGGAUUGUAAACUCCUGUUGUUGAGGAAGAUAAUGACGGUACUCAACAAGGAAGUGACGGCUAACUACGUGCCAGCAGCCGCGGUAAAACGUAGGUCACAAGCGUUGUCCGGAAUUACUGGGUGUAAAGGGAGCGCAGGCGGGAAGACAAGUUGGAAGUGAAAUCUAUGGGCUCAACCCAUAAACUGCUUUCAAAACUGUUUUUCUUGAGUAGUGCAGAGGUAGGCGGAAUUCCCGGUGUAGCGGUGGAAUGCGUAGAUAUCGGGAGGAACACCAGUGGCGAAGGCGGCCUACUGGGCACCAACUGACGCUGAGGCUCGAAAGUGUGGGUAGCAAACAGGAUUAGAUACCCUGGUAGUCCACACCGUAAACGAUGAUUACUAGGUGUUGGAGGAUUGACCCCUUCAGUGCCGCAGUUAACACAAUAAGUAAUCCACCUGGGGAGUACGACCGCAAGGUUGAAACUCAAAGGAAUUGACGGGGGCCCGCACAAGCAGUGGAGUAUGUGGUUUAAUUCGACGCAACGCGAAGAACCUUACCAAGUCUUGACAUCCCUUGACGGACAUAGAAAUAUGUUUUCUCUUCGGAGCAAGGAGACAGGUGGUGCAUGGUUGUCGUCAGCUCGUGUCGUGAGAUGUUGGGUUAAGUCCCGCAACGAGCGCAACCCUUAUGGUCAGUUACUACGCAAGAGGACUCUGGCCAGACUGCCGUUGACAAAACGGAGGAAGGUGGGGAUGACGUCAAAUCAUCAUGCCCUUUAUGACUUGGGCUACACACGUACUACAAUGGCGUUAAACAAAGAGAAGCAAGACCGCGAGGUGGAGCAAAACUCAGAAACAACGUCCCAGUUCGGACUGCAGGCUGCAACUCGCCUGCACGAAGUCGGAAUUGCUAGUAAUCGCAGAUCAGCAUGCUGCGGUGAAUACGUUCCCGGGCCUUGUACACACCGCCCG